CCAGUGUCUCAGUCCCUGGGGAGGUGGGCCCAGCCACCUCCUGUCUCUCUGAGAUGCACCCAGAGCCUAUCAAAAAGAAAAAGUACCCUAAAGAAUCCUACCCUGCAGAAAUCUUUCAUUGCUUCAAGAUUCUUUAGAAUUAUGGUGUCUCCAAAGUGAUUUAUUAUUGAUGUACUGAAACACACUUGGGGCUCUCGCUGUUGGCACUGAACAACAUGGAGAGUGAAAAAGACAUCAAUGAAGAAACUAUCAUCAAAAAGCUUAAUUAUUAGUAUUCCUUACAAUGACUCAUAUAAUCCUUACAAUAUAAAUAAAAAUCAAGUUCUCAAACAGCA
RNAcentral lists this long non-coding RNA (335 nucleotides) under Equus caballus (horse). RNAcentral's name for it is "lncRNA (ENSECAG00000038572.3)". The record is from RNAcentral. Lineage: Eukaryota; Metazoa; Chordata; Mammalia; Perissodactyla; Equidae.